GGGCCUGUAGCUCAGGUGGAUAGAGCACCGGAUUCCUAAUCCGGGUGCCGCGUGUUCAAGUCACGCCAGGCCCACCA
RNAcentral lists this transfer RNA (77 nucleotides) under Acidobacteria bacterium 13_1_20CM_2_68_7. Its description in RNAcentral is "tRNA-Arg". It matches the Rfam family "tRNA". Rfam says of the family: Transfer RNA (tRNA) molecules are approximately 80 nucleotides in length. Their secondary structure includes four short double-helical elements and three loops (D, anti-codon, and T loops). Lineage: Bacteria; Pseudomonadati; Acidobacteriota. The record is from RNAcentral. RNAcentral also lists the same sequence under 7 other names.